Molecule: ribosomal RNA, 468 nt
Filed under: uncultured bacterium
Lineage: Bacteria
Description: partial 16S ribosomal RNA
Rfam family: Bacterial small subunit ribosomal RNA
Source: RNAcentral
GACGAACGCUGGCGGCGUGCUUAACACAUGCAAGUCGAACGGAAAGGCCCUGCUUUUGUUGGGUGCUCGAGUGGCGAACGGGGGAGUAACACGUGAGUAACCUGCCCUUGACAUAGGGGUAAAUUCUGGAGACUGGGGCUAAUAUCGGGUAGGAGCUACUGCUGCAUGGGGGGGGUUGGAAAGUUUCGGCGGUUGGGGAUGGACUCGCGGCUUAUCAGCUUGUUGGUGGGGUAGUGGCUUUCCAAGGCUUUGACGGGUAGCCGGCCUGGGAGGGGGACCGGCGACAUGGGGACUGAGAUACGGCCCAGACUCCUACGGUACGCAGCAGGCGGGAAUCUUGCGCAAUGGCCGGGCGCGUGAUGUAGCAACGCUGCGUGCGUAAUGACGGCCUUCGGGUGGUGAACCGCUGUGUACUGUGAUGAAGCGUGAUUGACGGUAAUUGGUAAAGAAGCACCGGCUAACUACGUG